AAUUUUGGACAAUGGGGGGAGCCCUGAUCCAGCCAUCCCGCGUGUGCGACGAAGGCCUUCGGUUUGUAAAGCACUUUUCGCAGGGAAGAAAUCGAAUAGGAUAAUACCCUGUGUGGAUGACGGUACCUGCAGAAUAAGCACCGCCUAACUACGUGCCAGCAGCCGCGGUAAUACGUAGGGUGCAAGCGUUAAUCGGAAUUACUGGGCUGAACGGGUGAGCAGGCGGAUCGGAAAGAAAGAGGUAGAAUCCCAGGGCUUAACCUUGGAACUGCAUUUUUAACUAACGGGCUAGAGUGUGUCAGAGGGAGGUGGAAGUCCGCGUGUAGCAGUGAAAUGCGUAGAUAUGCGGAGGAACACCGAUGGCGAAGGCAGCCUCCUGGGAUAAUACUGACGCUCAGACACGAAAGCGUGGGGAGCAAACAG
Molecule: ribosomal RNA, 423 nt
Filed under: uncultured bacterium
Lineage: Bacteria
Description: partial 16S ribosomal RNA
Rfam family: Bacterial small subunit ribosomal RNA
Source: RNAcentral